AUUGAACGCUGGCGGCAUGCCUUACACAUGCAAGUCGAACGGCAGCACGGGUGCUUGCACCUGGUGGCGAGUGGCGAACGGGUGAGUAAUAUAUCGGAACGUACCUUAUCGUGGGGGAUAACGCAGCGAAAGCUGCGCUAAUACCGCAUACGCCCUGAGGGGGAAAGCGGGGGACCGUAAGGCCUCGCGCGAUUAGAGCGGCCGAUAUCUGAUUAGCUUGUUGGUGGGGUAAAAGCCCACCAAGGCGACGAUCAGUAGCUGGUCUGAGAGGACGAUCAGCCACACUGGAACUGAGACACGGUCCAGACUCCUACGGGAGGCAGCAGUGGGGAAUUUUGGACAAUGGACGCAAGUCUGAUCCAGCCAUUCCGCGUGCAGGAUGAAGGCCCUCGGGUUGUAAACUGCUUUUGUACGGAACGAAAAGGUUUCUAUUAAUACUAGGAGCUCAUGACGGUACCGUAAGAGUAAGC
RNAcentral lists this ribosomal RNA (470 nucleotides) under uncultured Burkholderiales bacterium. RNAcentral describes it as "bacterial SSU rRNA". It matches the Rfam family "Bacterial small subunit ribosomal RNA", at positions 30 to 491 of the family's 1533-position model. Lineage: Bacteria; Pseudomonadati; Pseudomonadota; Betaproteobacteria; Burkholderiales. The record is from RNAcentral.